GCUCGGCCGAUCGGUUAUUUCCCGUCCUCCCGGGGGAGUAGCCGGGGCCAUUACCCUUUGUUCCUCAUUCUUUGAUUAACAAGUAUUGGCACGUUCUUCAUGAUUUCCAGCUGGUGCCAGUUGAUACUUGACCGCGUUGCAGCUAUGAAGAAGUGAAAAGAGCAAGAAAACUUGAGGGUCUGUCCAAGGAGGAAGGAUCGCAGACGCACUCUCAAGAUCUGUGUGUUACUUUCUACAGGAUGGGAAAUAGCCUAUGUGCUCCUUUAUUCUUUCUGAGCGUAGGUCUUCCUUACGUACCCCCAAAGCACCGUGCUGUGACCGUGUGGCCGUGACUCACUGGAGACCACCUCAGUACCCUCAGAAGUUGGGGCCAUUCUGUCUCCCCUCCUGUUCCCUCUCUGGACAGCUGAGCAAGGAAUUCCGUGAGCAAAACCCACUCCUGCUAUUCUCAGUACAGGAAGUCAGGCGGUUUUCUACAGCAAUACUGUAUUUGUGAACCACGUCGGAGAGAGACCUGGGCCCCCGAAGCAGUGGUACAGACUGACUCGCAUCAACACUCCUCAGGACUGGAACUCCCUGAGAUAAACAUCUGCUUAGCUCAUCCCACGAGACUGCAUUUGUUCAUCCUGUGCAAAGGAACAGCGUCAUAAAGAGAUACAAAAUAACAGGACCCUGGAAAACAUCUUUAUCUGUGUAGAUGGAUAAAAACGGGCAUAUUGGAAAUGUUGCAAAGAGAAGCUGCAGAACAAUCUGAUGAGUGGAAUCCGUAAGAAGAAAGAAUAGGACUGGAAUGUAUGAAAUGAACUUGCAAGGGCCUUGUAAACAGCAUGCUCAGUGAGCUGAUAACCACAAGGAAAAUGCUGCAACAGAUGUAAAGGCAAGCAGAAUCAGUAAUUUGAGAUGGAAGAGAAUAUUAUUAUUAGAAAGAAACCAACAAGCGUGGAAGACUAAGAAGCAGAAUUAAGGAGACUGGGUAUUGUGAUGGAGCACAGUGGGAAGUGGAUAGCAAUAUGAAAAAUUAAUUUAUCUGAGACAAAAGAGAAUAGAGGAAUUAAAGAUGGAAAGUUAGGCAGAAGUACAGCUAAGGGGAAGAGGAAAACCACACCUUCUGAUAUUUUUUUCAUGGAAGAAAUAUUCCCCUACAAGAGGAAAAAAAUGUGACAGAAAUGAAGGAAACAAGAGCUGAGCCAAAGAUGGAGAAAACUCAACCGGAAUGAUGGUCAGGUAUUCAUUAAAGUGCAAGAAGAGUAGAACUGAGGAAGGGGGGAGGAUGAAGUUUGAGGAAAAACCAUCAAGUGACAGCAGGAGGAGGUAUUGGGGGCAUCGCUAGCCUGGGGACCAUUGGCAGGGGUAGAGUAAGAGCGAGAGAAAAGAUCUGGGACAAAGGAAAUGGGAGUUUUAAGAGAAUCAAAGACCAAAGACCCUCUUCUCCUGUGCGCUCCCCGCAGCUCUGCCGCGCGUCCCUUUCCUUAGUCUGUUUUCUCAGGGCAGAGGCAGACAGGCGCUUAGAAGGACUGCAGCUAGAUGGGAGUUCACUGUCUAUUCCGUAGUGGAUGACUGUGUCUGACGCUGUCUCUGAAAGAAUUCUUUGGAAUCUGUGAGUGCCAAGGAGCAGGUCCUGCCCACAGUAUAACGUGCUACAAACACUGUAUCAUGGUUUUGAGAAGCUUUUUCUCUCCAGUCACUGGCGUAGCAUUACCCUAAACCAACCAAAUCUGUUCUGCAGAACCUAGCGCUGUACGCAGGUGUAGUUCAUCUUUACUCACAGCCACACAACUUUUCUCGGUUUCAAAUCAGACUGAAGAAAUUUCUGGCCACCAAUAUGGCAUCUUUGCUUUGAGGCCAUCUUGUGCUUCUUUGGAGUUCCUCCAGCAAUAAAGCAUCCAGUCAGUUGGGAAUGUAUGACUAUUAGUAAAACAGAGCAUAUAAUCCAUUCAUUUCCCAAAUGACUUAAUCUAGGAGUCUGACUGGCGUCAAGAGAGCGAACAAGAUUUGGGGAGAGACUGGCGAGCAAGGAACACAACCAUCAAAUCAAGGGGCUUUCUCAGGUUUACUUCCAAGGCACUAGAUCAGCCUGUAUUUGCAUUUUAGAGAGUUAAGCGAGUCUCACUGCAGAUUUAAAGAAGCCUUAAAACAUGAAAGAAGCUGCCUUGUUUGUUUCUUUUUAUAGAUGAGGCAAAUGAAACUUCUCUAGCUGUGUGAGAGGGCAGGUGCUUUCCGCUCUGAGAGGGUGGUAGCUGCUGUCAUUUGUAACCCAAAGUGGUUCAACAGUAUGAACUUACUGUUUUGGACAGGAUUUACUUUCGAAAAUCUGAAGCCACUUUUAACUCUUUCAAGGCGAAGGGACGUAGGUGUAACAUGUUCUUAUUUGCAGACAUUAUGGCUUUGAUACUGUGCAUUUUGUGUCCCUGGAAACAUAAUAAUUUAGUAGCAAGGACGUCCAUAACACCAUCGACUUCCCUUGAACACGUUAAAAAAAAUAUUCUUUUGAAGCAGUAUCAGUAGUGAACAGUGAUACGCCAAGUCUGACCCAGCGCAUACUGUCAGCCCUUUGUCCUAUUUAAUAACGUCUUUUAUGACAGAAAUAUUGGAAUAAUAUUUCCCUUUGGAAAUUGUUUCAAGCAAAUAACCUCCUAAUAAAUUGCUGUGGCAAUUUAUCCUUUGUGUUUAGCAGAAUAACCAUUGGCAUGACUCAGUGGCUACACAGGGAAAGAACGGGUCACUAUUACAAAAUAUCCAACAAUUUUUAAACUACCGCUGUUGGUAUUAACAAUACCAACCCUGAGUAUUGCAAAUGAUUCUGCAAUUGAUUCUGGCUUUUUUCUUCCCAUUCAGUUUAAAAUAUCCAGUAGUAUUCUGAGAAGCCGUGAAAUCCGCAGGUCUUUU
This 2886-nucleotide long non-coding RNA is filed under the name Columba livia (rock pigeon). Its description in RNAcentral is "partial uncharacterized LOC102085263, transcript variant X3". Lineage: Eukaryota; Metazoa; Chordata; Aves; Columbiformes; Columbidae. The record is from RNAcentral.